CCUACGGGCGGCAGCAGUGGGGAAUAUUGGACAAUGGGGGGAACCCUGAUCCAGCCAUGCCGCGUGUGUGAAGAAGGCCCUCGGGUUGUAAAGCACUUUCAGUGAGGAAGAACGCCUGGUGGUUAAUACCCAUCAGGAAAGACAUCACUCACAGAAGAAGCACCGGCUAACUCCGUGCCAGCAGCCGCGGUAAUACGGAGGGUGCGAGCGUUAAUCGGAAUUACUGGGCGUAAAGCGCGCGUAGGUGGCUUGAUAAGCCGGUUGUGAAAGCCCCGGGCUCAACCUGGGAACGGCAUCCGGAACUGUCAAGCUAGAGUGCAGGAGAGGAAGGUAGAAUUCCCGGUGUAGCGGUGAAAUGCGUAGAGAUCGGGAGGAAUACCAGUGGCGAAGGCGGCCUUCUGGACUGACACUGACACUGAGGUGCGAAAGCGUGGGUAGCAAACAGGAUUAGGUACCCGAGUAGUC
This 465-nucleotide ribosomal RNA is filed under the name Vreelandella stevensii. RNAcentral describes it as "partial 16S ribosomal RNA". It matches the Rfam family "Bacterial small subunit ribosomal RNA", at positions 338 to 795 of the family's 1533-position model. The record is from RNAcentral. Lineage: Bacteria; Pseudomonadati; Pseudomonadota; Gammaproteobacteria; Oceanospirillales; Halomonadaceae.